UAGGAUUAAGUUAUUAUGUAUUUUGGUUGUUGACCAAUCCUAGGCCACACACACAUCCUCUAUCUUCCUUCCCGUGCUCUCUCUCUCUCUCUCUCUCUCUCUCUCUCAGACUCACUAUCUCUCCUCUCUUGUACGGACGUCACCCAAAACCCUUUGAAACGUGACAGAUCGAGGGACUUAAGCACACCAUUGUGUUCGUGAAGCUCAGACGAAUCGAUUGGGAAUUUGAAGCUUAUAGGAAGCUUAAGGAGGUACUCGCGAGUCUCGGGGGCUGAGAUCGACGUGUAUCUAGGUAAGCCAAACUAUCGAGCUUUCUCGAGGAAAACCUAGUGAAUUUUAAGCCUUGUGAAACUUAUAUAACGUGAUUCUACAUGUUAUUAGCUUCAUUUUGGUACCAAUUUUGUGGAAAAUGGUGAAGAAAUGAAGAAGAAUAAGCGUUUUAAAGAUUUACCCAGUUUCCGGCGCCGACGACGGUAGCUGGAGAUUCAAUGGUAGGGAUGACGAAAUAUUCUGUCAACUUUGACGAAAUAUUCCAACGCCUUAAUUAGUUUGGACAGAUUCUGUUAGGACUUAACGGAAUAUUCUCGGUAUAUACCUGAGGGCGUUGACUGACGCCGUUAGUACGCUUGUCAUGUGGCCGCAUGUGGGGGCGCGUAUUGCCGUGCCUUGGCCGGCGCGUGGGUGGUCAGAAAAUUAUUCUAAAAAUAUGGGGAUGUUCGUGGAGUUGUGUAGAUCACAUUGGUAUAUUCAAACACCCCAUUUGAGCAUUGUAUGAGAAGUUAUUAGAUAGUUUUGUCUAUAUGCUCUAAAAUAACGUUUUUAUAGUUAAUUCGCAUAUAGGUGAGACUUAUCUCGAGGACGAGCGUGUUCAAGGGCGACUCAGGGGCUACGACCCUUCGACAUACCAGUUUUAGGUAAGCUUGCUAUCGGUGGCCUUGAGGAUUUCAGCGGUUCUGACUUAUCUAAAUAAUUGUAGGACAUCUUAUGGUAUUGUAUAAUUAGUACUUGUCCUACUGGACUGCACCUAGACUUUCUAUGCCCUGAUUAGGAGUAUUUACUUUU
This is a non-coding RNA of Malus domestica (apple), 1062 nucleotides long. Lineage: Eukaryota; Viridiplantae; Streptophyta; Magnoliopsida; Rosales; Rosaceae. The record is from RefSeq and is a predicted model, not a curated record.